UCCGGUUUGUCACCGGCAGUCACCUUAGAGUGCCCAACUUAAUGCUGGCAACUAAGAUCAAGGGUUGCGCUCGUUGCGGGACUUAACCCAACAUCUCACGACACGAGCUGACGACAACCAUGCACCACCUGUCACUCUGUCCCCGAAGGGAACUCGGUAUCUCUACCGAUUGCAGAGGAUGUCAAGACCUGGUAAGGUUCUUCGCGUUGCGUCGAAUUAAACCACAUGCUCCACCGCUUGUGCGGGCCCCCGUCAAUUCUUUUGAGUUUCAGCCUUGCGGCCGUACUCCCCAGGCGGAGUGCUUAAUGCGUUAACUUCAGCACUAAGGGGCGGAAACCCCCUAACACCUAGCACUCAUCGUUUACGGCGUGGACUAC
RNAcentral lists this unclassified non-coding RNA (377 nucleotides) under uncultured Bacillaceae bacterium. Its description in RNAcentral is "contains 16S-23S intergenic spacer region". The record is from RNAcentral. Lineage: Bacteria; Bacillati; Bacillota; Bacilli; Caryophanales; Bacillaceae.